UACGGAGGAGGCAAGCGUUAUCCGGAAUUAUUGGGCGUAAAGCGUCCGUAGGUGGUUUAGUAAGUCUGCUGUUAAAGCGCGGGGCUUAACUCCGUAUCGGCAGUGGAAACUACUAGACUAGAGUGUGGUAGGGGUAGAGGGAAUUCCCAGUGUAGCGGUGAAAUGCGUAGAUAUUGGGAAGAACACCGGUGGCGAAGGCGCUCUACUGGGCCAUAACUGACACUGAUGGACGAAAGCUAGGGGAGCGAAAGGG
RNAcentral lists this ribosomal RNA (253 nucleotides) under uncultured bacterium. Its description in RNAcentral is "partial 16S ribosomal RNA". It matches the Rfam family "Bacterial small subunit ribosomal RNA", at positions 524 to 776 of the family's 1533-position model. RNAcentral also lists the same sequence under 1 other name. The record is from RNAcentral.